RNAcentral lists this ribosomal RNA (383 nucleotides) under uncultured eukaryote. RNAcentral's name for it is "partial 18S ribosomal RNA". It matches the Rfam family "Eukaryotic small subunit ribosomal RNA", at positions 592 to 976 of the family's 1831-position model. The record is from RNAcentral.
CAAUAGCGUAUAUUAAAGUUGUUGCAGUUAAAAAGCUCGUAGUUGGAUUUCUGGUGGGAGCGAUCGGUCUGGCGCUUAGCGCGAGUACUUGCAUCGUCUCCGGCCAUCCUUGGGGAGAGUCUGUCUGGCAUUAGGUUGUCGGGCAGAGGAUCCUCAUCGUUUACUGUGAAAAAAUUAGAGUGUUCAAAGCAGGCUUAUGCCGUUGAAUAUAUUAGCAUGGAAUAAUAAGAUAGGACUUUUGUACUAUUUUGUUGGUUUGCGCACCAAAGUAAUGAUUAAUAGGGACAGUUGGGGGUAUUCGUAUUCCGUUGUCAGAGGUGAAAUUCUUGGAUUUACGGAAGACGAACUACUGCGAAAGCAUUUACCAAGGAUGUUUUCAUUAA